RNAcentral lists this ribosomal RNA (179 nucleotides) under uncultured soil bacterium. RNAcentral's name for it is "partial 16S ribosomal RNA". It matches the Rfam family "Bacterial small subunit ribosomal RNA", at positions 26 to 201 of the family's 1533-position model. The record is from RNAcentral.
AGGAUGAACGCUAGCGGCAGGCCUAAUACAUGCAAGUCGAGGGGGAUUGGGGAGCUUGCUCCCCAUGAGACCGGCGCACGGGUGCGUAACGCGUAUGCAACCUGCCUUGAUCAGGGGGAUAGCCCGGAGAAAUCCGGAUUAACACCGCAAUAAAACCACAGCACAGCAUUGUGCAAUGG